CCUACGGGGGGCUGCAGUGGGGAAUAUUGGACAAUGGGGGCAACCCUGAUCCAGCCAUGCCGCGUGUGUGAAGAAGGCCCUCGGGUUGUAAAGCACUUUCAGUGAGGAAGAACGCCUGGUGGUUAAUACCCAUCAGGAAAGACAUCACUCACAGAAGAAGCACCGGCUAACUCCGUGCCAGCAGCCGCGGUAAUACGGAGGGUGCGAGCGUUAAUCGGAAUUACUGGGCGUAAAGCGCGCGUAGGUGGCUUGAUAAGCCGGUUGUGAAAGCCCCGGGCUCAACCUGGGAACGGCAUCCGGAACUGUCAAGCUAGAGUACAGGAGAGGAAGGUAGAAUUCCCGGUGUAGCGAUGAAAAGCGUAGAGAUCGGAAGGGAUACCAAUGGCGAAGGCGGCCUUCUGGACUGACACUGACACUGAGGUGCGAAAGCGUGGGUAGCACACAGGAAUAGAUACACUAGUAGUC
This 465-nucleotide ribosomal RNA is filed under the name Vreelandella stevensii. RNAcentral describes it as "partial 16S ribosomal RNA". It matches the Rfam family "Bacterial small subunit ribosomal RNA", at positions 338 to 795 of the family's 1533-position model. The record is from RNAcentral. Lineage: Bacteria; Pseudomonadati; Pseudomonadota; Gammaproteobacteria; Oceanospirillales; Halomonadaceae.